AUGGCCUAGUGGAGGUUAUCAGUGAGAAAGUAGAUAUCUGGGCUCUUGGGUGUCUCUUGUAUAGAAUCUGCACAGAAUAUUAACUGUUGGUUAUGAUUAUGGAAGGUCUUGUUUUCAGCUCAUGAAUAUAGG
Molecule: long non-coding RNA, 132 nt
Organism: Zea mays
Lineage: Eukaryota; Viridiplantae; Streptophyta; Magnoliopsida; Poales; Poaceae
Exons: 2
Source: RefSeq, a predicted model, not a curated record